GAUUCUGGCUCAGGAUCAACGCUGGCGGCAUGCCUAAUACAUGCAAGUCGAAUGGUUAGCUUGCUAACCAUGGCGAACGGGUGAGUAACACGUAGGUAACCUGUCUUCAAGACGAGGAUAACCAUUGGAAACGAUGGAUAAUACUGGAUAGGACAAAUCCCCGCAUGAGGAGAUGUUUAAAGGAGCAAUCCACUUGAUGAGGGGCCUGCGGUGCAUUAGCUAGUUGGUGAGGUAAAGGCCCACCAAGGCGAUGAUGCAUAGCCGGACUGAGAGGUUGAACGGCCACAAUGGAACUGAGAACGGUCCAUACUCCUACGGGAGGCAGCAGUAGGGAAUUUUCGGCAAUGGGCGGAAGCCUGAACCCGAGCAAUGCCGCGUGAACGAUGAAGUAUUUCGGUAUGUAAAGUUCUUUUAUUUGGGAAGAAAAAACAAAUUGACGGUACCAAAUGAAUAAGCUCCGGCUAACUACGUGCCAGCAGCCGC
This 483-nucleotide ribosomal RNA is filed under the name uncultured bacterium. RNAcentral's name for it is "bacterial SSU rRNA". It matches the Rfam family "Bacterial small subunit ribosomal RNA", at positions 15 to 518 of the family's 1533-position model. The record is from RNAcentral.